CGUACACUCCUACGGGAGGCAGCAGUGGGGAAUAUUGGACAAUGGGCGCAAGCCUGAUCCAGCCAUGCCGCGUGAGUGAUGAAGGCCCUAGGGUUGUAAAGCUCUUUCACCGGAGAAGAUAAUGACGGUAUCCGGAGAAGAAGCCCCGGCUAACUUCGUGCCAGCAGCCGCGGUAAUACGAAGGGGGCUAGCGUUGUUCGGAAUUACUGGGCGUAAAGCGCACGUAGGCGGAUCGAUCAGUCAGGGGUGAAAUCCCAGGGCUCAACCCUGGAACUGCCUUUGAUACUGUCGAUCUGGAGUAUGGAAGAGGUGAGUGGAAUUCCGAGUGUAGAGGUGAAAUUCGUAGAUAUUCGGAGGAACACCAGUGGCGAAGGCGGCUCACUGGUCCAUUACUGACGCUGAGGUGCGAAAGCGUGGGGAGCAAACAGGAUUAGAAACCCCUGUAGUCCCAUGA
This 454-nucleotide ribosomal RNA is filed under the name uncultured organism. RNAcentral's name for it is "partial 16S ribosomal RNA". It matches the Rfam family "Bacterial small subunit ribosomal RNA", at positions 330 to 800 of the family's 1533-position model. The record is from RNAcentral.